GAUGGAGAACGCAGCGAAAUGCGAUAAGUAGUGUGAAUUGCAGAAUUCAGUGAAUCAUCGAAUCUUUGAACGCACAUUGCGCCCCUUGGUAUUCCAUGGGGCAUGCCUGUUCGAGCGUCAUUUGUACCUUCAAGCUUUGCUUGGUGUUGGGUGUUUGUCUCGCCUUUGCGUGUAGACUCGCCUUAAAAUAAUUGGCAGCCGGCGUAUUGAUUUCGGAGCGCAGUACAUCUCGCGCUUUGCACUCAUAACGACAGCGUCCAAAAGUACAUUUUACACUCUUGACCUCGGAUCAGGUAGGGAUACCCGCUGAACUUAAGCAUAUCAAUAAGCGGAGGA
This 336-nucleotide unclassified non-coding RNA is filed under the name soil metagenome. RNAcentral describes it as "partial contains 5.8S ribosomal RNA, internal transcribed spacer 2, and large subunit ribosomal RNA". The stretch from base 1 to 120 matches the Rfam family "5.8S ribosomal RNA", at positions 35 to 154 of the family's 154-position model. The record is from RNAcentral.